Molecule: ribosomal RNA, 494 nt
Filed under: uncultured bacterium
Lineage: Bacteria
Description: partial 16S ribosomal RNA
Rfam family: Bacterial small subunit ribosomal RNA
Source: RNAcentral
GACGAACGCUGGCGGCGUGCUUAACACAUGCAAGUCGAACGGUGAAGCGCCUUCCUUUUUGGUGGGUGUGGAUGAGUGGCGAACGGGUGAGUAACACGUGAGUAACCUGCCCCCUUCUUCUGGAUAACCGCAUGAAAGUGUGGCUAAUACGGGAUAUUCUGGGUCUGUCGCAUGAUGGGUCUGGGAAAGAUAUUGUUUCGGUGGGGGAUGGGCUCGCGGCCUAUCAGCUUGUUGGUGGGGUGAUGGCCUACCAAGGCGGUGACGGGUAGCCGGCCUGAGAGGGUGGACGGUCACACUGGGACUGAGACACGGCCCAGACUCCUACGGGAGGCAGCAGUGGGGAAUAUUGCACAAUGGGCACAAGCCUGAUGCAGCGACGCCGCGUGAGGGAUGGAGGCCUUCGGGUUGUGAACCUCUUUCGCCAGUGAAGCAGGCCUGCCUCGUUUGUGGGUGGGUUGACGGUAGCUGGAUAAGAAGCGCCGGCUAACUACGUG